GGCUACAGCUAGCGUGCGUCUGCGGCAGCUCGCAAACAGGCAUUGAUCACGAAACCCUCCACCGCGGCUUCUACACAGGGUGGCAUUGUUUGUCCGUCUGCCCGCUGUGCCUCAAGAAAGCGCCGGCUGCGCUGUUCAGGUACUGGCUAGCAGGCUACUGGUGUCCUUACGAAUAGACGACCACUUGGACCGCUGGUUUUGACGAGCUCCGGCCCUCACGCGGGGCCGAACCUUUUGGUCAAAAUGGUGCCGGCCAAGCUCGCGACUUGUACGCACACCGGGGCCUCGCCGUCUGGACUCACCGAGUAAAGAAAACAGCGUCAAUUUCCCAACUCUUCAGCCAUAACUGUUUGAAGCAGUACUACUACGGCCUACGCAGAUGUGAGCUGCCGGCAUAAAGCGACACGACGGCUCCCAUGAAAGUAGUAUAAAAUUCUUUUCUUCAGCAGCAGGGUACGCACCGUAGUUUAAGAACACUUAGGAGAAUACAUCCCGUCAUGUAGCGUAUGAGCGAAUGUGACUACUGCAGAGGCCAGUAGCACAGCUCGAUUAGCUCGCAAACGCGAAGCCUAUUCGGUGUCUGCAAAGUUCGUUCACGAUACGUAUUUUCGUUUUUUUUUUCCAGUAGCAAUCGGCUGAGAAGGGCACCGUCUAAGAAGCGAACUCUGCUUACGUUCUCACAAAUGCGGUAGCUAGCAGGGUCACAGUGACACGAGGCCGCGCUCCCGUACGACGCCUAAUAUGGAAUCCCAUUUGGUCGAUGCCGGUUCAAAAGGCCAGUGACGCUCAACCAGCUGGACCUGGAGACUGCGGGCCAAGGCAACGGGGGUCCGAGUGAAAAGAUGGCGUUUCCUCCAGACCGUGCCGUCUUUCGCAGAUAGGUGCGCGCGUUCGGCCGUGAACCGAGGCCCAGCGUCGAGAAACGACGUCUGCUUCGCGCUCGCGUACUACGCGGAAAAGAGCAGCUGUUCGUCGCAGACGACAAGUCUCCGAAAAGCCGUCUGGCCCGCACGCGUUGAGGCGAGCCAGCUUGGCUAAACAAAGCGGGCCCGCCAUUUCGCGGAGCACGGGAACGUCCCGUCCUCGUUGC
Long non-coding RNA from Dermacentor albipictus, 1090 nucleotides. RefSeq lists it as uncharacterized. The record is from RefSeq and is a predicted model, not a curated record. NCBI's taxonomy places the organism in Eukaryota, Metazoa, Arthropoda, Arachnida, Ixodida, Ixodidae.